Ixodes scapularis (black-legged tick) is the source of this 4330-nucleotide RNA transcript. It is a transcript of the gene named YTH domain-containing protein 1, with no coding region annotated. NCBI's taxonomy places the organism in Eukaryota, Metazoa, Arthropoda, Arachnida, Ixodida, Ixodidae. The record is from RefSeq and is a predicted model, not a curated record. The transcript is spliced from 16 exons.
CGAUUGUUUGGGGGCAGUCGUGGUAGGUGCUCGAUCUCUAUGCUUUACUGAUACAUUUUGUGUUAUAUCAGGCCGAGAUAUGGCUUCCGAAGACGCCGAAAACAAAGAUAUGGAGGUUAACGUUUUGGACGAACUCCUGGAGAACGCCGAUGACGAUGACUUGGCGGCGGAACUCAAGGACGAAGAGAAGAAGUGUGGAAAAAAGACGCCCGUCAGUGCAGUGACUCCGCCACUGGUGAAAGCCACCCUCGCCACCAGCGCUAUCCCAAAGAAGAAAAGCACCCCCAAAGCGAAGAAACCGCCUUCCGUCGAAGUGACGGUUUCGCCGAAAAAGGCCACGCCUGCGGCCAAGACCCCGGCUCCAAAAAGCUCGGUGCCCGCUGCUAAAAAGAAGGCGGUGGUUUCCGGAUCGACUGCUGAGUCGGUCGCCGCUCCAGUUCAGAACUCGGCGGUCGCCCAGACGGCUCUGGAUCUGAGCACAUCCGCUGCCGCACAAGCCAAGCCGAGCUCGCAGCCCAAGCUCGUUCAGAAGAUUCCGACCAAGAUCACAAAGUCAUCUGGUCCUGGCGAGAAAGGCAUGACGGUGAAGGCGAAACCCGUCGUCUCGGCCACCGGGGAGCCCAAGAUGUCUCCCGAGGACCUCCUUGCCUCCGAGGCGGCGCCUGCCAAAGGCAUGGUCAUCAAGAAGACAGUGGCCAAGAAGAUCCUGACUACCGUCCAGACUCCAAACAAGAUUGUGAAGAAGCUGGUUGCAGUCAAGCCAGGCUCAAAAAAGUCGCCCGACACCGCUGCAGUUGCAAAGCCAAGGUCGGACAAAGCCGUCCUGCCUUCCAAGACGGCAGUUCCCGUCCCGCCCCCGUCCAAGCACUCACCGGACGAAGACCCCGACCGGCUGCAUGUCACGCCAACUGCGGAGGAGCUCCAGGUGGCGGAAGACACCGCCGUGCCUCCGCCAAUGGUUGCGUCGUCUGCUGCUGUUCCAGCGCUGUCUUCGGAGUCCAUCGCGGCCAUUGUCUCCGGCGGGGCCAAGCCGGGGGGCGGCGGCCCUGAGAAGCGGCACAAGAACCCAGACUACGAUACGCGGAGCGAGGCGUCGUCAUCGGAGCACGAGAGCUGCUCCUGCAGCCUGGGGUCGAGCACCUCAAGGUCACGUUCAAGGUCGCGCUCGAGGUCGCAGUCCUUCUCUGGCUCGUCGUCCCUGGCGUCGGGCCCCACCGAACACUCCCCGAGGCAGCACGUUUCGAGGAAGCGGCGUCACUCCCCAAUUGUCUACGACCGGAAGAACAGGAGUGCCGAAAGAGCCCAGAAACGUUCCAGGUUCUCAUCUUCGAGCAGAAGAGAGCACUCUGAACCCUCGGACCAUCACCUGGUGAAGUACUUCUUCCGCAACGCCAGAUUCUUUUUGGUGAAGAGCAACAACCACGAGAAUGUGGCACUCUCCAAAGCCAAGGGAGUCUGGUCAACCCCACCACAGAACGAGGCAAAGCUGAAUCAAGCCUUCAGAGAGUGUAAGAAUGUCAUCCUGGUGUACUCUGUCAAAGAGAGUGGAAAGUUCCAAGGUUUUGCUCGUCUGGCGUCCGAGUCCACCCACAACUGCCCGCCGAUCCAGUGGGUGCUGCCCCCGGGUCUGAGUGCCAGGGCUCUGGGAGGGGUCUUCCACGUGGACUGGAUCUGCAGGAGGGAGCUGCCAUUCACCAAGACCACUCAUUUGUACAAUCCGUGGAACGAAGGGAAGCAGGUCAAGAUCGGAAGGGACGGACAGGAAAUCGAGCCCCGGGUGGCGGAAGAGCUGUGCCGCCUGUUCCCUGUGGACGAGCUCAUUGACCUCCGCACCAUCCUCCAUCGUAGUGGGCGCUCGUCGCGCCGCAGGCACCACUCUCCGUCGCGCCGUUCGUCAUCGCGCCACCGGCGUCACCACCGCGGCGGCGGCGGUAGCAACGAGGAUGCGCGCCAGCGGCACACUCUGGCGAGGUUAGCCGCCCCACGCCGCUGCCACUUGCCGUGGACUCUAUUGUUUGCCUGUGCCUGCGGGACUGUCACCUGACCACGGCCGUGCAGAGAGCCUGCGUGGUCUGGUCUUGUGCGGACGCUGAGUUCUUCGGCGGGUGCUCCGAAAAGGUUCUUCGGCGAAUGAAAAGGGGACUUGCGCUUUGGAGUGCGGUUUCCUCGCAGGAGACGGGGAGAUCUGCGUUUCGGUUCUUAGAUGAGCACAAACGCGGCGUCCUCAGACGGGUUCUUCAGAGGGGCUCUACACCGAGUGAAAGGGGACUUCCGCUUCAGUGUUCUUCCCUUGUUGAGAGUUCUGCCAGCACUAGUGCGUGUUCUUGGAGAACUUGGAUGCGGCAUUCUAAGAUCUUCUUAGAAAGAAAGGUUCUUCAGAUGGGUUCUAUGUUGAGUGAAAGGGAACUUUUGCUUCAGCGUGUGUUCCUUGUGGUAGAGGGAGCUGCCAGCACUAUAUGCGCGCUCUUGGAGAUAGACACAGUGUCCCCAGACAAGGUUUUAAGAAGAAAAAGGUUCUUCGAUGGGGUUCUACAUUAAGUGAAAGGGGACUUUUGCUUAAGUGCCUUUUUUCUUGGGUAGAGGGGCCUGCCGGUGCUAUAUGUGUGUGUUCUUGGGAGGACUUGGACGCGGUUUCCUCAAAAGGGUCUUAAUAGGCAAAAGUUCUUCAGGAGAUAUUCUAAGAAGGAAAUGUUUUUCAAUCAAGUACUACCGGAAAUGAAAGAAGACUUCGCUAUAGUGUUCGUGGAGGGACUUGGAUGUGGCUUCCUCAGACGGGAUUUAAGAUGAAAAGUUCUUCAAGGGAGGUUCUAAGAAGGAAAGGUUCUUCAGGGGGGUUCUACACCGAAUGAAAGAAGACUUUCGCUUUAGUGUUAUUGAUGGCCGGUCCUAGGUGCCCGUUCUUGGAAGGACAUGGACGCGAUGCUCUUGGAGGGGUUCUAAGCGGGCAAGGUUCUUCAGAGGGGUUCUACACCGAGUGAAAGAAGACUUCCACUUCAGUGUUCUUUUGUUGGGGUUGCCCACUUCAUGUGCAGGUUUUUGGGAAGACCUGGAUGCAUUCUCGUCAGAUGAGUUCUAAUGAAGGAAGGGUUUACAUUGGGGCAUUACACUGCAAAAUGUUGUUUUAUUUCUGAAAGAGGGGCUGCUGAUACCAUUUUUGGGUUGUCAGACAGAUGGGGGAGAGGGGGUUGGGGGGAAUGUCAGCCAAUGGUUCUAAGAACGGAUCUUAUGCCCAGUUGGAGGGGAACAGUCUAAGCUGUGUGAUGAAAGGUGGUUGCAGACUGCUCUAAUGGAGGGAGGGGCUCUUAAGUUCUGAGAAGCAUCCAGCAAAAGUGGAGGGAUUAUACAUCUGAGCUGGUGUAGGGGUUCUCUGAGGGGUCAUAACCCACUGGGUGGGAAGUUUUUGGCCUUUUAAAGCUACUUUAGUCCUUUAUUAAUGAAUGAAUAAUCAAAAACAGAGUGUUAGAUUUUUUUUUUUUUUUGAUGGGGCUUGCAAGUUGCAGUGAGGCUGCCAAUAAGCUACUUUUGGGGACUCUUCAGUUACAUGGGACUUGCUACAGAGGGAAUUAGGGUACUGCUUUAGGGAACUACACUAGGUGAAACAUAGCUGGGGUUUUUGGACUGUAUGUGUUUCUGAUAACCCAACCGUUUCUCUUUCUUCCCGUGUUGCCGUGCGGGGCCCAUGACAAACUCUCUUUCGCCUUGUGCACACAUACCCCCAAUCUCCGUCGGGACUUUUCCCCUUCUGCCUCUCGCGGCUGCGGCCUUCCCGAGAGCUCCAAGGGCCGUACCGUGAAAGAAAGUUUAGCUUCGGAAGGAAGGUGGGGGGGCGUUUGGCGGGACUUUGGACGUUUUCGACAACCCAGCUAACACCCCCUCUGUCUCUGCCCGGACUGUGCGGUGGCCUGUGCAGCGAAAGUGUCGAGGCGGACGGAUGUGGCAGCGGGUCGGAACCCGCGGCGAAACCCCGUGUUUUGUGGUGGGGGUGGGUUCAGAAGUGCAGAUGGACAGAUGCCGCGACCGCUGGACUUUCCAGCCAAGUCGGCCGGCCAGUGUAGAAGAAAAGGUGGCGCUCUUUUUUUUUUGUUUCUGUCGCUCGCUGUUCCCAAACUUUUGGCCUCCUGUGCCAGUGAGUGACGUGAGCAGACGGACGUAAAGUGCGAAAGUCUCGGAGACUUUGAGUGGGGGUUGCGUUGGCUUGUGCCGUGCGGCUGCAUAGUAGACGGUCGCACGCUAGCCACAGCUCCCGCUCUCCGAGGCCAAGACACCGUAGAGACAGUGCGGAAGAGGGAUAUCGCCUGGCUCGUCGUGUCCGGUAUUCGGGCGAGCACGA